GGGUGAGUAACGCGUGGAUAAUCUACCUUUAGGAUCGGGAUAACAGUUGGAAACGGCUGCUAAUACCAAAUACGCUGCAUAUUAACUUAUGUGGGAAAGAUGGCCUCUCCAUGGAAGCUAUCACCUGAAGAUGAGUCCGCGUUCCAUUAGCUUGUUGGUAGGGUAAUGGCCUACCAAGGCGACGAUGGAUAGCUGGUCUGAGAGGAUGAUCAGCCACACUGGAACUGAAACACGGUCCAGACUCCUACGGGAGGCAGCAGUGGGGAAUAUUGCGCAAUGGGGGAAACCCUGACGCAGCGACGCCGUGUGCGGGACGAAGGCUCUAGGGUCGUAAACCGCUGUCAGGAGGGAAGAACCGUACUAGUUCAAAUAGGGCUAGUACCUGACGGUACCUCCAGAGGAAGCACCGGCUAACUCCGUGCCAGCAGCCGCGGUAAUACGGAGGGUGCAAGCGUUAAUCGGAAUCACUGGGCGUAAAGCGUGCGUAGGCGGCCUGUCAAGUCAGGUGUGAAAGCCCUCGGCUCAACCGGGGAAUUGCACUUGAAACUGGCAGGCUAGAGUCUCGGAGAGGGUGGCGGAAUUCCCGGUGUGNGAGUGAAAUCCGUAGAUAUCGGGAGGAACACCAGUGGCGAAGGCGGCCACCUGGACGAUGACUGACGCUGAGGUACGAAAGCGUGGGUAGCAAACAGGAUUAGAUACCCUGGUAGUCCACGCUGUAAACGAUGGAUGUUA
Molecule: ribosomal RNA, 732 nt
Filed under: Desulfovibrionaceae bacterium PR7_B02
Lineage: Bacteria; Pseudomonadati; Thermodesulfobacteriota; Desulfovibrionia; Desulfovibrionales; Desulfovibrionaceae
Description: bacterial SSU rRNA
Rfam family: Bacterial small subunit ribosomal RNA
Source: RNAcentral